Long non-coding RNA from Mya arenaria, 224 nucleotides. RefSeq lists it as uncharacterized. NCBI's taxonomy places the organism in Eukaryota, Metazoa, Mollusca, Bivalvia, Myida, Myidae. The record is from RefSeq and is a predicted model, not a curated record. The transcript has 3 exons.
CACUUUACAGAGGGAGGACGCACAUAAUGGAAGUGAUACGAUUUUGCCAAACCGAUUCGCUACAUACCGGACAGACCAGGUCACUACAAUCUGCAUAGACAAAAUGGCUGAUCCAAUGGAUGCGAGCUCACAAAUACAUAAUGGUGCAGGUGAACGACAGAGGCACAGAGGACAUAAUGCGAACCAAGCAUUGGAGAUUGUUGACGAAGUGGACGUAAACAGGU